RNAcentral lists this ribosomal RNA (1432 nucleotides) under Weissella confusa. RNAcentral's name for it is "bacterial SSU rRNA". It matches the Rfam family "Bacterial small subunit ribosomal RNA". The record is from RNAcentral. Lineage: Bacteria; Bacillati; Bacillota; Bacilli; Lactobacillales; Lactobacillaceae.
AUUUGAAGAGCUUGCUCAGAUAUGACGAUGGACAUUGCAAAGAGUGGCGAACGGGUGAGUAACACGUGGGAAACCUACCUCUUAGCAGGGGAUAACAUUUGGAAACAGAUGCUAAUACCGUAUAACAAUGACAACCGCAUGGUUGUUAUUUAAAAGAUGGUUCUGCUAUCACUAAGAGAUGGUCCCGCGGUGCAUUAGCUAGUUGGUAAGGUAAUGGCUUACCAAGGCGAUGAUGCAUAGCCGAGUUGAGAGACUGAUCGGCCACAAUGGGACUGAGACACGGCCCAUACUCCUACGGGAGGCAGCAGUAGGGAAUCUUCCACAAUGGGCGAAAGCCUGAUGGAGCAACGCCGCGUGUGUGAUGAAGGGUUUCGGCUCGUAAAACACUGUUGUAAGAGAAGAAUGACAUUGAGAGUAACUGUUCAAUGUGUGACGGUAUCUUACCAGAAAGGAACGGCUAAAUACGUGCCAGCAGCCGCGGUAAUACGUAUGUUCCAAGCGUUAUCCGGAUUUAUUGGGCGUAAAGCGAGCGCAGACGGUUAUUUAAGUCUGAAGUGAAAGCCCUCAGCUCAACUGAGGAAUUGCUUUGGAAACUGGAUGACUUGAGUGCAGUAGAGGAAAGUGGAACUCCAUGUGUAGCGGUGAAAUGCGUAGAUAUAUGGAAGAACACCAGUGGCGAAGGCGGCUUUCUGGACUGUAACUGACGUUGAGGCUCGAAAGUGUGGGUAGCAAACAGGAUUAGAUACCCUGGUAGUCCACACCGUAAACGAUGAGUGCUAGGUGUUUGAGGGUUUCCGCCCUUAAGUGCCGCAGCUAACGCAUUAAGCACUCCGCCUGGGGAGUACGACCGCAAGGUUGAAACUCAAAGGAAUUGACGGGGACCCGCACAAGCGGUGGAGCAUGUGGUUUAAUUCGAAGCAACGCGAAGAACCUUACCAGGUCUUGACAUCCCUUGACAACUCCAGAGAUGGAGCGUUCCCUUCGGGGACAAGGUGACAGGUGGUGCAUGGUUGUCGUCAGCUCGUGUCGUGAGAUGUUGGGUUAAGUCCCGCAACGAGCGCAACCCUUAUUACUAGUUGCCAGCAUUCAGUUGGGCACUCUAGUGAGACUGCCGGUGACAAACCGGAGGAAGGUGGGGAUGACGUCAAAUCAUCAUGCCCCUUAUGACCUGGGCUACACACGUGCUACAAUGGCGUAUACAACGAGUUGCCAACCCGCGAGGGUGAGCUAAUCUCUUAAAGUACGUCUCAGUUCGGAUUGUAGGCUGCAACUCGCCUACAUGAAGUCGGAAUCGCUAGUAAUCGCGGAUCAGCACGCCGCGGUGAAUACGUUCCCGGGUCUUGUACACACCGCCCGUCACACCAUGAGAGUUUGUAACACCCAAAGCCGGUGGGGUAACCUUCGGGAGCCAGCCGUCUAAGUGACAAGAAUU